UUACGCCCACAUCAUGUUGAAACACCUGUUUCCGUACGAUCACCAAAGUUAAGCAAUAUCGGGUAUGGUCCGUACCUAGAUGGGUAACCGCUUCGCAGUACCAGGCGCUGUAAG
Acanthosepion pharaonis is the source of this 114-nucleotide non-coding RNA. The record is from the annotation of a GenBank genome assembly. Lineage: Eukaryota; Metazoa; Mollusca; Cephalopoda; Sepiida; Sepiidae.